UACGGAGGGAGCGAACGUUGUUCGGAUUUACUGGGCGUAAAGGGUGUGUAGGCGGUCUUGUAAGUCAGGGGUGAAAUCUCUCGGCUCAACCGAGAAACUGCCUUUGAGACUGCAGGACUUGAGGGCGUGAGAGGAGACUGGAAUUCCUAGUGUAGCGGUGAAAUGCAUAGAUAUUAGGAGGAACACCAGUGGCGAAGGCGAGUCUCUGGCACGCAUCUGACGCUGAAACACGAAAGCCAGGGGAGCGAAC
Molecule: ribosomal RNA, 250 nt
Filed under: uncultured bacterium
Lineage: Bacteria
Description: partial 16S ribosomal RNA
Rfam family: Bacterial small subunit ribosomal RNA
Source: RNAcentral